GUACAUUCCGGUUCUGAGCGCGCCGCCCGCACUCACCUGACGUGCGCUCGCUACGUUGCGUUAGCC
Molecule: small RNA, 66 nt
Filed under: Oxalobacteraceae bacterium
Lineage: Bacteria; Pseudomonadati; Pseudomonadota; Betaproteobacteria; Burkholderiales; Oxalobacteraceae
Description: partial sX9 sRNA
Rfam family: Xanthomonas sRNA sX9
Source: RNAcentral